Molecule: ribosomal RNA, 253 nt
Filed under: uncultured bacterium
Lineage: Bacteria
Description: partial 16S ribosomal RNA
Rfam family: Bacterial small subunit ribosomal RNA
Source: RNAcentral
UACGGAGGGGGCUAGCGUUGUUCGGAAUUACUGGGCGUAAAGCGCACGUAGGCGGCUUUGUAAGUUAGAGGUGAAAGCCCGGGGCUCAACUCCGGAAUUGCCUUUAAGACUGCAUCGCUAGAAUUGUGGAGAGGUAAGUGGAAUUCCGAGUGUAGAGGUGAAAUUCGUAGAUAUUCGGAAGAACACCAGUGGCGACGGCGACUUACUGGACACAUAUUGACGCUGAGGUGCGAAGGCGUGGGGAGCAAGCAGG